UUCCUGGGUUGAGUGCUCCUUUUCGGGAAGCUUGGUGCAUGCAGAUCAGGACCAGCCCAAGGAAGUUGAGCUAGGGUAGAGCAGGGUGAGGAGGCGCUUUAGUACCGCUGGAACUGGAGAUUGCUUUCAGUAAGCAAGUCUUUGUAAAAGGUUUUUAAGUCAUGAUGCAAG
Poecilia latipinna (sailfin molly) is the source of this 171-nucleotide long non-coding RNA. RefSeq lists it as uncharacterized. Lineage: Eukaryota; Metazoa; Chordata; Actinopteri; Cyprinodontiformes; Poeciliidae. The record is from RefSeq and is a predicted model, not a curated record. The transcript has 3 exons.